RNAcentral lists this ribosomal RNA (468 nucleotides) under uncultured bacterium. RNAcentral's name for it is "partial 16S ribosomal RNA". It matches the Rfam family "Bacterial small subunit ribosomal RNA", at positions 28 to 507 of the family's 1533-position model. The record is from RNAcentral.
GACGAACGCUGGCGGCGUGCCUAAUACAUGCAAGUCGAACGGUGAGGCUCGAGCCUGGUGGCGCGGACGAGUGGCGAACGGGUGUGUAACACGCGAGGAUCCCCCCCCUGACUGAGGAGUAAGCCUUCGAAACGGCGGCUCUUACUGGAUACGAGAAGGUUCCGCAUGGGCAUCAUCUGGAAAGGUGUUCGGUGGGGGAUCGGCUCGCUGCCUCUCAGCUUGUUGGUGUGGUAGUGGCUCACCAAGGCGACGACGGGUAGCCGGCCUGAGAGCGCGACCGGCCACACUGGGACUGAGACACGGCCCAGACUCCUACGGGAGGCAGCGGUGGGAAAUAUUGCACAAUGGGCGAAAGCCUGAUGCAGCGACGCCGCGUGAGGGAUGACGGCCUUCGGGUUGUAAACCUCUUUCAGCAGGGAAGAAGCGAAAGUGACGGUACCUGCAGAAGAAGCAACGGCUAACUACGUG